CAUGUAGGUUGUAGAUUAAGUCAGUUUUUAAAUGUCACGGCUUAACCGUGGACUGGAAUUGAAACUGGUCUACUUGAGUAUGAGAGGGGACAGAGGAAUACCUAGUGUAGCGGUGGAAUGCGUAGAUAUUAGGUAGAACACCUGAGGCGAAGGCGUCUGUCUGGCUCAUAACUGACACUGAACUGCGAAAGCAUGGGUAGCGAACA
Molecule: ribosomal RNA, 206 nt
Filed under: uncultured bacterium
Lineage: Bacteria
Description: partial 16S ribosomal RNA
Rfam family: Bacterial small subunit ribosomal RNA
Source: RNAcentral